This 482-nucleotide ribosomal RNA is filed under the name uncultured bacterium. Its description in RNAcentral is "partial 16S ribosomal RNA". It matches the Rfam family "Bacterial small subunit ribosomal RNA", at positions 30 to 507 of the family's 1533-position model. The record is from RNAcentral.
AUUGAACGCUGGCGGCAUGCUUUACACAUGCAAGUCGAACGGUAACAGCACUUCGGUGGCUGACGAGUGGCGAACGGGUGAGUAAUACAUCGGAACGUGCCUAGUAGUGGGGGAUAACUACUCGAAAGAGUAGCUAAUACCGCAUGAGAUCUAGGGAUGAAAGCAGGGGACCUUCGGGCCUUGCGCUACUAGAGCGGCUGAUGGCAGAUUAGGUAGUUGGUGGGAUAAAAGCUUACCAAGCCGACGAUCUGUAGCUGGUCUGAGAGGACGACCAGCCACACUGGGACUGAGACACGGCCCAGACUCCUACGGGAGGCAGCAGUGGGGAAUUUUGGACAAUGGGCGCAAGCCUGAUCCAGCAAUGCCGCGUGCAGGAUGAAGGCCUUCGGGUUGUAAACUGCUUUUGUACGGAACGAAAAGCCCUCUUCUAAUACAGGAGGGUCAUGACGGUACCGUAAGAAUAAGCACCGGCUAACUACGUG